Non-coding RNA from Branchiostoma floridae (Florida lancelet), 116 nucleotides. The record is from Rfam. Lineage: Eukaryota; Metazoa; Chordata; Leptocardii; Amphioxiformes; Branchiostomatidae.
GGCUUCAGCUGUUGUGCGUUGAUACACCUGAUCCCUUGAUCUCGGAAGUUGAGCAACAUGCAGUCGUGUCAGUACUUGGAUGGGAGAGCACAAUGGAAGACUGGAUGUUGUGGCCG